This is a long non-coding RNA of Oncorhynchus tshawytscha (Chinook salmon), 2337 nucleotides long. NCBI's taxonomy places the organism in Eukaryota, Metazoa, Chordata, Actinopteri, Salmoniformes, Salmonidae. The record is from Ensembl.
CCCAGACUCUGCAACACCACUAAGCAAGGGGCAACACAAGGAAGUGACACCACGAAGACCAAGGAGCUCACCAAACAGCUGGAGGGUGAUACAGCUGUCUGAAGACCAAAAGGCUGCAAUCAGGUGUUUGGCUGACAUUUGGGACCUCCCUGGUCUCACAGCUAAGAACAGAAAAUGGCUGUAAAACCGUCUACUACAGCAUGCGGUCUUGGGAAGAACCAUUCGACAAAUAAAACAGUUGCGAUGGGGCAUCAAAGUGUGGUUCCGGCUGACCGAAAGAAAAUAUGUGGUUCCACUAAUGUUCCCCUGUGAGGCAAACAUUGUGUGCAGCCCUGCGCUAACAACCUAAUGCCACAUGUUAUCAAAAGAUUAUCUUUGAUGACAGUAUCUGGCCUGGGUUGACAGAAAAUAAGGAUGAAGAGGAUGAUGAAGCGUACCCUAUCCAAAUGAGGUGUCGCAUUGUGGGAUACCUCUGGCUAUUUGUUGAGACUGGUAUUGUCACAUCUGCCUAUUAUUGUCCUUUUUCUAUCCCAAGUAUUGUGCACCUGGGCUCCAAAAGGCUAGUUCGAUAGUUAUUGUGCUUGCGGAAAGUAAAAUAACUUGUCAUUCAAUUUCUUAUUUUACUUUGAUUUCCACAAUGUGGAAAAGUAACAAGCUGUUUGAACUUUCAAAAAUGUCUACACAUGUGACUAUCUCACAACAUACAUCCUUCUCCCUGUGGAUCUCCAGCUUAUUAGCUUUCAGUUGAUCUCGGAUUUCUCUCACUCACAAUAGAGAGAGACAUGGUCCUCUUGCAUAAGUAUAAUUUAGUUCUAAGGAUGAACAAGGGUUUAGUUAUUUAUUAGAGGGAAUAUGUCUAAAACAUGUUAUGGGGACUAGGGUAUAAUUAUUUCAAUGAACAAUUUAGAGCCUGUUAGUGUUCAAUGAAAAACUGUCAAACAAGACUGCUUUGAGCAAGCCUACUAUUUUUGUUUCAUGUCCUCAGUAGGGGCCUUUCAGUAAUUCACCUUUACUGCUCAGCAUUAUUGCAAUACCCAUACAGUACAGAAGUCAUUUUAAUAUUUUCUUCUCUUUUCGCAUCAACGAUACUCAUGUAACUCUUUAAGUUCUGGAAGGGAUGGGAGAUCCUCACAGGAGAUUUGGAGAUUGUGUGUGUGAAGAUCUCCCGAGGUCGUCUCCUUGUUUCCAACCAAUCCGUCUGCCAGGGCACUACACUGAAUUUGGGGAGUCCUGCGUCGCACUUGCAUAGCCACUAGUGACACAGGCUUUGGGCUAGUCUACUGUUGCCACACUCAAGCACUUCUACUUGCCUCUAUCCUGACUAUGUAGUUUGGUUUUGUGUUCAUAGAUAGCGAGAGAGAGAUCAUUGGGAGAUCUUUCCAACAAUCUAUAUUCAAGUUCAACUUUGAUAUAAUCAUGAACAUCAUGGUUUAGAAUUUUUUUCGUGGGCAAACAAAUAAUCCUGGAAUGUGUUUUAGAGGGGCAGUCAACAGUUUAAACAGUGUUCUCCCCGUUUUGGUAAAAAGAUGAGGGAGGGCUCGGGAGUUAUAUAACCCCUUGCCAGUACGUAGACCAAGCUAUGCAUGCAAGGACUGGCCAUCAAUGAUAUCCAAAUUUAACAAUGUUUUGAAGCUAUAUAGUGUUUCUUUACAUUUACUUUGUUUAUAAGAAUUUGAGUAACACAACCUUUUUGGAUUCAGAUGGGGGUAAGAUAGUAGUUGAAUUAAUGAAGCAUUUAUUGUUAGUCUUUAAGAAUCCAUUGGUACAUAAUUAAUGUUCUCAAAAAUGUAUGCAGCAACUGCAGACUGGCCAUUUAAGUCAGUAAAAUUGCAUAAUGUACCCUUAUCACUUAUGGCAUUCUGUGCCAUCAGCUUUUUGCUCCUGUGAAUUAUAUUAUUUUUGUUUAAAUGGGUAAAUAAUUGAACCGUGCACCAGGGGUACUUGUGACUGAUUGCUGAAAUAAAGAGCCUGUUGGAGUAUUUCAUUUAUUAAUAUGAUUGCAGUGGGUGUUGGACAUAUAGAUCACGUCCGUGUGACUCUGAAGGGGAUAGGGGGUCAACCACUGACAGAAGCGCUGUCAUUUCUAGCUCAGAGUGGGCAUUCAAACUUGGGGACUAUAAGUCCUCUUUCCGAGGCCUCAUAGGUCAUCACUUCACUCUCCCAGUCAAUGUUUGGGUCUAGAAGGUCCUAGAAAGGAAAACAUCUUAGAUAUACUGUAGAUGUCUUUGGCAGCAAUAGUAUAUUUUUUGUAGGCACUAACUCUGCCACGGUUGUUGGACAAAGCCUGUAGGAAAAUUUGGCUUUUUGGAUAAUGACCUAAAAUAAGGUCUAUGGUAA